AUAAUGGGUCAGCGACUUAUAUUCUGUAGCAAGGUUAACCGAAUAGGGGAGCCGAAGGGAAACCGAGUCUUAACUGGGCGUUAAGUUGCAGGGUAUAGACCCGAAACCCGGUGAUCUAGCCAUGGGCAGGUUGAAGGUUGGGUAACACUAACUGGAGGACCGAACCGACUAAUGUUGAAAAAUUAGCGGAUGACUUGUGGCUGGGGGUGAAAGGCCAAUCAAACCGGGAGAUAGCUGGUUCUCCCCGAAAGCUAUUUAGGUAGCGCCUCGUGAAUUCAUCUCCGGGGGUAGAGCACUGUUUCGGCAAGGGGGUCAUCCCGACUUACCAACCCGAUGCAAACUGCGAAUACCGGAGAAUGUUAUCACGGGAGACACACGGCGGGUGCUAACGUCCGUCGUGAAGAGGGAAACAACCCAGACCGCCAGCUAAGGUCCCAAAGUCAUGGUUAAGUGGGAAACGAUGUGGGAAGGCCCAGACAGCCAGGAUGUUGGCUUAGAAGCAGCCAUCAUUUAAAGAAAGCGUAAUAGCUCACUGGUCGAGUCGGCCUGCGCGGAAGAUGUAACGGGGCUAAACCAUGCACCGAAGCUGCGGCAGCGACGCUGAUGCGUUGUUGGGUAGGGGAGCGUUCUGUAAGCCUGUGAAGGUGUGCUGUGAGGCAUGCUGGAGGUAUCAGAAGUGCGAAUGCUGACAUAAGUAACGAUAAAGCGGGUGAAAAGCCCGCUCGCCGGAAGACCAAGGGUUCCUGUCCAACGUUAAUCGGGGCAGGGUGAGUCGACCCCUAAGGCGAGGCCGAAAGGCGUAGUCGAUGGGAAACAGGUUAAUAUUCCUGUACUUGGUGUUACUGCGAAGGGGGGACGGAGAAGGCUAUGUUGGCCGGGCGACGGUUGUCCCGGUUUAAGCGUGUAGGCUGGUUUUCCAGGCAAAUCCGGAAAAUCAAGGCUGAGGCGUGAUGACGAGGCACUACGGUGCUGAAGCAACAAAUGCCCUGCUUCCAGGAAAAGCCUCUAAGCAUCAGGUAACAUCAAAUCGUACCCCAAACCGACACAGGUGGUCAGGUAGAGAAUACCAAGGCGCUUGAGAGAACUCGGGUGAAGGAACUAGGCAAAAUGGUGCCGUAACUUCGGGAGAAGGCACGCUGAUAUGUAGGUGAAGUCCCUCGCGGAUGGAGCUGAAAUCAGUCGAAGAU
RNAcentral lists this ribosomal RNA (1187 nucleotides) under Escherichia coli. RNAcentral describes it as "partial 23S ribosomal RNA". It matches the Rfam family "Bacterial large subunit ribosomal RNA", at positions 612 to 1784 of the family's 2925-position model. Lineage: Bacteria; Pseudomonadati; Pseudomonadota; Gammaproteobacteria; Enterobacterales; Enterobacteriaceae. The record is from RNAcentral.